RNAcentral lists this long non-coding RNA (1097 nucleotides) under Androctonus crassicauda. The record is from RNAcentral. Lineage: Eukaryota; Metazoa; Arthropoda; Arachnida; Scorpiones; Buthidae.
GACAUGGGUCUUUUUUGUACUUCUAAAACAAAUUCUAUAUCUGAAUCCUAAUUGCGCAGUUGAACUGCCACCAUUUUUCAGAUAUAUAAAACAUUCAUAUUUUUAUUGGUUGAUUAUUUUCUUCGUAUCUUGCCACGCCAUAUUGUUCAUGUGUGCUAGUUGGUUAAAGUUCAAUUUUUCAUCUCCUUUUGUGUGGCUAUGUGUGUUAAAUUGAGCAGCUGCACAGGAAAAGCUUGUCCAAGACACAUUGUAUGUGCAUAACUGCAUGAAUUUGCUUUCUUGUACUGUGUGUCAUGUUCAAUGUGUAUAGCCUUUAGGAAUAGUCUCAUUAAUAAUAAUAACAAUAUCAUCAGUGUGCCUAAAAUUUAAAUACACCAACUUGCUUUUAUUAAAAGAUAUUUAACAGAUUUACGUAGAGAAAUAUCGUCAUUUAAAUUUUUCCACAAUUUUAAAUGAUCCCUUAUUAGUAAACUCUGUUGAUAUGGAAUUGAAGCAACUCAUCUAUGUUAGCCUCUCUUGUCUUCAGAUCAGAUCUCUCUGCAUUGACAGCAAUGUUACUCAUUUAAUUGGAAAAUUUAACCUCUGGAUUAAUCAUGAAAUUCUUUUCUUCAUAUUUUAUACUUUCCAAUCUGUAAUUAUUAAUUGGCAGAGCAUUUCAAUGUUCACCACACAGACUAUACAUACCUAUUGUGGUAUGUAGUAUUGUGGUUUAGAUGAAGGAUGUGGCUCACCAAUUCCUCCUGAAAAAUUUUGAGUCUUAGAAUUAAAUCUGGAUCCUUUAAUUGUUAUAGUAUGGUCUAUUGGUUGACACUCAUGGUAGGAUCAUAUGAAUGGUAAAAGGAUAGAAUUUGGUGGUUGAGCCCAACUUCCUCCUGGAAAAAGCUGGAAUUGCAGAAUCCAGAAUUGAAUCCAUAUAUUCCAGGAUGGAAAUGUGGCAUAUUUCUAGAUUAUCAUAUACAGGUAUUUUCCAUCUUUGAGUUAAUUCAGACCUGGAAAUUGCUCAUAAAAUAAGAACUUAUAAACAAAGACUCAAUUUCCUAUAUACAUAAUGUUAAAACUAGGAAUUCCAUUCUCAGCACAAUAAAAUUAAAUAGACG